AGAAACAGGCAGCCUGACUAGAGAACAAACUACCAAUUAACGAGCGAGGAAACAGGGCCAGAGAAUUGGAACAAAAUACAAGGCUGCCUCUGAAAGGAAUAUCUUUGUGCUGAUGUGUCCAUCAAGAGAACAUACACAGAAGUGACACUUGCCAGUAAUUUGCAAGCAGAUGGAACUUCAAUAUGGCAAUAGAGAAAGAAUCAAUUAGACCAGAGUCUCCUCAGGAAGACUUUCUAUAGAUAUCUGGUGAGCAUCUGCUAGAUGCCAGGGUUGGGGAGAGUCAAGUUGAAGCAAGCAUGAACCCUCAAGGACCUACCAUUUCAAGGCAAGAAAUAGAUACAAAUACAGUUGAGAGCCAUCUGUGAAGUUAAUUUCAGCACUGUUUACUCUUUCCUCCUAAAUCACUAAUGAAGAUGAAACAUUCAAUGGAAUUGAGCUUUGCACCCCUUUCUGGGAAAUUCCACCGAGGCUUGCUCUUGUUUCAGAAAAUAUUUACUGGAUAGCUACUAGACAUAAGGAUGCAGAAAUGAAUUAGAAAAAUUCCUCGCCCUUGUUCAAAGCUAUGCUGGCUCUUAGAACAUCUGAGCCCCCACUGUUUCAUCUUUAGAGGAUCCCAGCUGCUGGGGUGUGAGGCCAGUGCUGGAGCCAGCAGUCUCUGACCCAGAAGGGACCUGAGGUGCUAAAGAAAAGGGUACAAGCUGGAAAAGGGGAAAAUGAAUCAUGCUACAGGCCAAGUGUCCAUCACUGAUUCCCAGAGAUGCCCUUUGUGUGGUAGGCACUUCCAUGUGGACUCGCUACAGAGUUUGGAGUUCCUGAACAACAUGGACAGUGUUAAUUUGGAUUCCAUGCUUCAUGGCACAGAAUUGGAGCACUAACUACUCAGUGAUGACUUUCUCUUCCUCUAGCUAAGGUGAUCAACAAGUUUCCUUGUUCUUUCUCCAAGUAGUAGAAGAAAGUAAAGGUCAUAAGACCCUAAUUCCAGAGGGCCCUACCCUAUAACCAGAAGGAAGAACUAUUGCACAGAGAAUCUAAGAAGAAUCUAGACAGACAGCCCUUGCUGGAUUUCUCCACUCUGUUAGCAUUCGAUCAUUUGCCUUUUGUCCAGUCAUAUUUCUGCAUGGCUGUCCAUACUUUGUUGAACCUAAGCACAAAAUGGAAAGUUUUCCCUGUAUCUUUGGGUCGUCAUUCUGAAGGCUCCCAUGUUAUGUAAAACUAUGAUCAAAUAAAUAUGCAUGCCUUUUCUCCUAUAA
This 1250-nucleotide long non-coding RNA is filed under the name Homo sapiens (human). Its description in RNAcentral is "long independently transcribed non-coding RNA 1643, transcript variant 14 (LINC01643)". Lineage: Eukaryota; Metazoa; Chordata; Mammalia; Primates; Hominidae. The record is from RNAcentral.